GACGAACCGUGCGAACGUUAUUCGGAAUCAUUGGGCGUAAAGAGCGUGUAGGCGGCCCGGUAAGUCCGCUGUAAAAGUCAAAGGCUCAACCUUUGAAUGUCAGUGGAUACUGCCGGGCUAGAGUCCGGAAGAGGCGAGUGGAACUCCUGGUGUAGCGGUGGAAUGCGCAGAUAUCAGGAAGAACACCAACGGCGAAGGCAGCUCGCUGGGACGGUACUGACGCUGAGACGCGAAAGCGUGGGGAGCAAACAGG
Molecule: ribosomal RNA, 253 nt
Filed under: uncultured bacterium
Lineage: Bacteria
Description: partial 16S ribosomal RNA
Rfam family: Bacterial small subunit ribosomal RNA
Source: RNAcentral